GAUGUAGGUGGCUUUGUAAGUCAGGCGUGAAAGCCUGGGGCUCAACCCCAGAAGUGCAUUUGAUACUGCGAAGCUUGAGUGUCGGAGAGGUUACUAGAAUUGUUGGUGUAGUGGUGAAAUACGUAGAUAUCAACAGGAAUACCGGAGGCGAAGGCGGGUAACUGGCCGAACACUGACACUGAGAUCCGAAAGCGUGGGGAUCAAACA
This 207-nucleotide ribosomal RNA is filed under the name uncultured delta proteobacterium. RNAcentral's name for it is "partial 16S ribosomal RNA". It matches the Rfam family "Bacterial small subunit ribosomal RNA", at positions 568 to 774 of the family's 1533-position model. The record is from RNAcentral. Lineage: Bacteria; Deltaproteobacteria.